GUGCACCUUUUAUUGACAUGCUAUUUUCUGUUUGUUGAGCAGUGAUAUUGCUUAUGUGCUGUACAAAUAGAUGAAGGUUAAUUAGCAGUAUAACUAGAUAGACAUGCUGCCAGUCUCCUUCACACGGGU
Small nucleolar RNA from Erinaceus europaeus (western European hedgehog), 129 nucleotides. NCBI's taxonomy places the organism in Eukaryota, Metazoa, Chordata, Mammalia, Eulipotyphla, Erinaceidae. The record is from Ensembl.